Molecule: unclassified non-coding RNA, 303 nt
Filed under: plant metagenome
Description: partial contains 5.8S ribosomal RNA, internal transcribed spacer 2, and large subunit ribosomal RNA
Rfam family: 5.8S ribosomal RNA (bases 1-105)
Source: RNAcentral
GAAAUGCGAUAAGUAAUGUGAAUUGUAGAAUUCAGUGAAUCAUCGAAUCUUUGAACGCACAUUGCGCCCGCCAGUAUUCUGGCGGGCAUGCCUGUUCGAGCGUCAUUUCAACCAUCAAGCCCCGCGCUUGUGUUGGGGACCUGCGGCUGCCGCAGGCCCUGAAAACCAGUGGCGGGCUCGCUGUCACACCGGGCGUAGUAGAUUUUAUCUCGCUCAGGGCGUGCUGCGGGUUCCGGCCGUUAAAAAGCCUUUUUUACCCAAGGUUGACCUCGGAUCAGGUAGGAAGACCCGCUGAACUUAAGC